AUAAUCCUUGCACUUACCAGCACGGAGGGCUCGCAGCCUGCUUGCACCUGUGGGCAGCUGGGAGAGGCUGUCUGUCCUUCUGAGGCAGGUGGAGAAGUGCUUGCAGACCCCCGAGGGGAUUC
This 122-nucleotide long non-coding RNA is filed under the name Parus major (Great Tit). RNAcentral describes it as "lncRNA (ENSPMJG00000018294.1)". The record is from RNAcentral. Lineage: Eukaryota; Metazoa; Chordata; Aves; Passeriformes; Paridae.